GGUUAAGCGACUAAGCGUACACGGUGGAUGCCCUGGCAGUCAGAGGCGAUGAAGGACGUGCUAAUCUGCGAAAAGCGUCGGUAAGGUGAUAUGAACCGUUACAGCCGGCGAUGUCCGAAUGGGGAAACCCAGUGUGAUUCGUCACACUAUCGUUAACUGAAUACAUAGGUUAACGAGGCGAACCGGGGGAACUGAAACAUCUAAGUACCCCGAGGAAAAGAAAUCAACCGAGAUUCCCCCAGUAGCGGCGAGCGAACGGGGAGCAGCCCAGAGUCUGAAUCAGCUUGUGUGUUAGUGGAACGGUCUGGAAAGUCCGACGGUACAGGGUGAUAGUCCCGUACACCAAAAUGCACAGGCUGUGAACUCGAAGAGUAGGGCGGGACACGUGGUAUCCUGUCUGAAUAUGGGGGGACCAUCCUCCAAGGCUAAAUACUCCUGACUGACCGAUAGUGAACCAGUACCGUGAGGGAAAGGCGAAAAGAACCCCGGCGAGGGGAGUGAAAAAGAACCUGAAACCGUGUACGUACAAGCAGUGGGAGCACCUUCGGGUGUGACUGCGUACCUUUUGUAUAAUGGGUCAGCGACUUAUAUUCUGUAGCAAGGUUAACCGUAUAGGGGAGCCGCAGGGAAACCGAGUCUUAACUGGGCGUUAAGUUGCAGGGUAUAGACCCGAAACCCGGUGAUCUAGCCAUGGGCAGGUUGAAGGUUGGGUAACACUAACUGGAGGACCGAACCGACUAAUGUUGAAAAAUUAGCGGAUGACUUGUGGCUGGGGGUGAAAGGCCAAUCAAACCGGGAGAUAGCUGGUUCUCCCCGAAAGCUAUUUAGGUAGCGCCUCGUGAAUUCAUCUUCGGGGGUAGAGCACUGUUUCGGCUAGGGGGUCAUCCCGACUUACCAACCCGAUGCAAACUACGAAUACCGAAGAAUGUUAUCACGGGAGACACACGGCGGGUGCUAACGUCCGUCGUGAAGAGGGAAACAACCCAGACCGCCAGCUAAGGUCCCAAAGUCACAGUUAAGUGGGAAACGAUGUGGGAAGGCACAGACAGCCAGGAUGUUGGCUUAGAAGCAGCCAUCAUUUAAAGAAAGCGUAAUAGCUCACUGGUCGAGUCGGCCUGCGCGGAAGAUGUAACGGGGCUAAACUGUGCACCGAAGCUGCGGCAGCGACACUAUGUGUUGUUGGGUAGGGGAGCGUUCUGUAAGCCUGCGAAGGUGGCCUGUGAGGGUUGCUGGAGGUAUCAGAAGUGCGAAUGCUGACAUAAGUAACGAUAAUGCGGGUGAAAAGCCCGCACGCCGGAAGACCAAGGGUUCCUGUCCAACGUUAAUCGGGGCAGGGUGAGUCGACCCCCUAAGGCGAGGCCGAAAGGCGUAGUCGAUGGGAAACAGGUUAAUAUUCCUGUACUUGGUGUUACUGCGAAGGGGGGACGGAGAAGGCUAUGUUAGCCGGGCGACGGUUGUCCCGGUUUAAGCAUGUAGGCGGAGGUUCCAGGUAAAUCCGGUACCUUUUUAACGCUGAGGUGUGAUGACGAGGCACUACGGUGCUGAAGUAACAAAUGCCCUGCUUCCAGGAAAAGCCUCUAAGCAUCAGGUAACAUUGAAUCGUACCCCAAACCGACACAGGUGGUCAGGUAGAGAAUACCAAGGCGCUUGAGAGAACUCGGGUGAAGGAACUAGGCAAAAUGGUGCCGUAACUUCGGGAGAAGGCACGCUGAUAUGUAGGUGAAGCCCCUGCGGGUGGAGCUGAAAUCAGUCGAAGAUACCAGCUGGCUGCAACUGUUUAUUAAAAACACAGCACUGUGCAAACACGAAAGUGGACGUAUACGGUGUGACGCCUGCCCGGUGCCGGAAGGUUAAUUGAUGGGGUUAUCCGUAAGGAGAAGCUCUUGAUCGAAGCCCCGGUAAACGGCGGCCGUAACUAUAACGGUCCUAAGGUAGCGAAAUUCCUUGUCGGGUAAGUUCCGACCUGCACGAAUGGCGUAAUGAUGGCCAGGCUGUCUCCACCCGAGACUCAGUGAAAUUGAACUCGCUGUGAAGAUGCAGUGUACCCGCGGCAAGACGGAAAGACCCCGUGAACCUUUACUAUAGCUUGACACUGAACAUUGAGCCUUGAUGUGUAGGAUAGGUGGGAGGCUUUGAAGCGUGGACGCCAGUCUGCGUGGAGCCAACCUUGAAAUACCACCCUUUAAUGUUUGAUGUUCUAACGUUGGCCCCUUAUCGGGGUUGCGGACAGUGUCUGGUGGGUAGUUUGACUGGGGCGGUCUCCUCCCAAAGAGUAACGGAGGAGCACGAAGGUUAGCUAAUCCUGGUCGGACAUCAGGAGGUUAGUGCAAUGGCAUAAGCUAGCUUGACUGCGAGCGUGACGGCGCGAGCAGGUGCGAAAGCAGGUCAUAGUGAUCCGGUGGUUCUGAAUGGAAGGGCCAUCGCUCAACGGAUAAAAGGUACUCCGGGGAUAACAGGCUGAUACCGCCCAAGAGUUCAUAUCGACGGCGGUGUUUGGCACCUCGAUGUCGGCUCAUCACAUCCUGGGGCUGAAGUAGGUCCCAAGGGUAUGGCUGUUCGCCAUUUAAAGUGGUACGCGAGCUGGGUUUAGAACGUCGUGAGACAGUUCGGUCCCUAUCUGCCGUGGGCGCUGGAGAAUUGAGGGGGGCUGCUCCUAGUACGAGAGGACCGGAGUGGACGCAUCACUGGUGUUCGGGUUGUCAUGCCAAUGGCAUUGCCCGGUAGCUAAAUGCGGAAGAGAUAAGUGCUGAAAGCAUCUAAGCACGAAACUUGCCCCGAGAUGAGUUCUCCCUGACUCCUUGAGAGUCCUGAAGGAACGUUAAAGACGAUGACGUUGAUAGGUCGGGUGUGUAAGCGUAGCGAUACGUUGAGCUAACCGAUACUAAUGAACCGUGAGGCUUAACCUUACAACGCCGAAGGUGUUUUG
RNAcentral lists this ribosomal RNA (2926 nucleotides) under Klebsiella aerogenes. RNAcentral's name for it is "bacterial LSU rRNA". It matches the Rfam family "Bacterial large subunit ribosomal RNA". The record is from RNAcentral. Lineage: Bacteria; Pseudomonadati; Pseudomonadota; Gammaproteobacteria; Enterobacterales; Enterobacteriaceae.